Molecule: RNA transcript, 4245 nt
Organism: Daphnia carinata
Lineage: Eukaryota; Metazoa; Arthropoda; Branchiopoda; Diplostraca; Daphniidae
Gene name: mediator of DNA damage checkpoint protein 1-like
Exons: 8
Source: RefSeq, a predicted model, not a curated record
UGGCGCGGGAAUUGCCGUCCCUAACAAAGUAAAUUUCGUUAUUUUAAUUGAUAUAGUAAUUAUAAAAAGAAAAAAAUCAGUGUUAAAAAACGGUUAUUCAAAGCGAAACAGAAUGUGUGAUUCGGAAGAGGACCUGAGUUCCAUGUCUACUGUCCCUUACGAGUAUGACGCUUCGGACUGUUCGGACAGCAUAUACGAUAAGGAAACCCAGGCCAUUGGAGAAAUUGGCAAUGGGGAAAACAAAGCAGGUUUUGAGAAACACAUUGAAUGUACCUUGAAUGCCGGUAAUGUGCUUUAUGAUGGUCCAACCCAACCACUGAAAUUCAUCAACACAGCUGUAAUAUGCAAAUCCCCAUCAGCUGUGGCUCAAACUUCGUUAUUAGAAACAAAACAGAUACCUACAGAAGACUUUGAUUCUGAUUGUGACACAAUACCAGAAUCUCCAGUUCUGUGCCAGGAUUCCCUCUGUGAUGAAGUUGACUUCCAGCAAACAAAAACACCAUCUAUCAGAUCCACAAUGAUAUUGGUUGAUGACGACAAAACCCAGCCACUUCCUCCACUACAUCCUCCAGAUAUUGGUAUAUUAAACCAAGAUUGUACUAGCCCAGAAAUUGCUUUAUACGAUGGCCCCACACAAAGGCUCGUCAUUACCAAUCCAGACACACUUAGCUGUUCCCGUGAAGAAACCUGCACAUCACCAUCACCAACUAGCCAAAAUACAUCUUUAUCAGAUUUAGAAACUCUCCCCAUUUCUCCAGUACACUACAAUACAAAAAUGGGCUCACCAGGCUGUUACAAGAAAAGUAGUUCCGCGGGAGAGUCUGCAAGAGCUGUAACCCCCUUGUAUGACGGCCCAACACAACCACUAGGCGUUCGUUCAAAUACCGAACCGCUUUCUGUUGGAAAAAGGAAUUUUGGUUUAUCGGCAGAAUCCAAUUGUGAUAUGCUAUCACGGGUGAUGAGAACUAGUACUUCAAGUGAUAUGGAAAUUGAAGAUGACAACGAGGAUCGAACCCAGGUCAAUCCUAAUUUAAUGCAUUUUUCUGAUAGAGUAGCUUCUUCGGGUUCAACCCUUAUGCUAGAGAAAAAAGAUGAGGAUUCUGAUUGCGAAACCUUACCAUCUUCUCCUGUUCACCCGCUGAGUUCCAUCCAGGAAGUACCCUCCACCCAAAGUAUGGAAGAUAGAAACCCUCUUCAGAGGACAGAAGCUUGGAGUGCUUUGAAAAAAGUUGACAACUGGGAUUUCGAAGCUGAUGAUUCAUGUCCUUUAUCUCCGGAUCUCUUUGUUGUUUCUUCACCUUGUCCUGAACCAAGCCAAAAUUUAACUACCGAAUCCGAAAAGAAGCAAGACGCCAAUGAUUCAGUAAAUGAUCCUACCCUAGAAAUGGAUCGCGUCACUAUACCAGUUGUAUCGCCCGUCUUUGAUUUCCAUGGUUCAGAUAACGAAGAAUCAGAUGAAGAAACACAAGCUAUUUCUCCAGCUUUCCACUUCCAAGGAUCGCCAGCCUUUGUGGCCGAAACCCCCUUCGUUCCCGUUACAUCCGUGGCCUCUAAAGAAAUACCUUUCGUGGCCGAAACGCCCUUUGUGGUCGAAUCACUAUCAGGUGAUGAAGAAACUCCUCGGAAAAAGAGGAAAAUUAUCCGUCGGUCUGGUCAAGCUUGCCGCAAACUGCUACCUGAAGUCAAUUCCUCUAUAAAUAACCGAACAUCAACCCCACACGAUAUGGAUCUCGAUAACAGUGAAGAAGAGCGCCGAGCAAGGGAAGAUGCUGUAUCAAUCGAAAGCGAUUUCGAACUCACUUUUGCUUCUCAUUAUUCUGCAUUGCCCACGCCUACAGCGUUUGCACCAACAGCAGAUCCACCUUUUGUUGGGUUUGAAGCUACUGAAGUAGAAGAACCAACAAUUCAUUUAGAGAAAAUUCGGCAAGUAAUAGUCAGCAAUCAAGUAGAUGCUUUGGAAGAGGCCAAGGCAUCCCAGGAUAUGGCAGCUCCAUUAGCGCCAUCUGCUGAACUGAUCGAUGUAAAAUUACCAACUCCUAGACGAUCAUCUCGCAAACCCGUGCCCAAGAGGCGAAACACAUUAGAUUUUAUAGAACCGGAUCGAGUGGAACCUGUCGCGCCCAAACGGCGUACGGUUCAACUAUCUAAAACAGCGGUCAAAGUAGAGGUCAUGUCUUCCGAUGAGACGGACGCAUCUGAGCCGACGAUUAAACGUCGUCCAGGACGGCCACGGAGAAAAAUCAAGGUGGAGCCACCUGACCAACCGGAUGAUGUAGAGUCUGUUGCAGCUAAAAAACGUUCUUCUAGCCGACCGGCUCGGCCGGUGAAACUUGAAGUCGAAUCAAUGGAUGAACCAAAAUCCGUUGCCAGGCUAGCGCCAGUCUCGCUUGCCUUAUCCGAUGCAGCUGAAUCAGGUGGGGAAAGCGCAAUAGCGAGCAAUCGAACAACGCGGAAUACUCGCGGUGGACGAAAGAAAGGCAAUACAGCCACAGUUACUGGGCCAGCAAAAGCGACCACACCGGUGACGACUAGGAAAACAAGAAACCAAAUCAAACAAGAACCGAUGAACGAGUCGGUUAGCGAAAGUGCCUUGAAUAAAACAACAUCACAACGUCGAAGUAAACGUGGCGUUAACAACAACACAGACACGUCCUCUAUCGCAUCUAGUUCGCCAUCCAUCCCGGAGGCCACACGCAGGCGGAAAAGACCUCUGGCUGGCCAGGUUCGAGUCUUAUUCACGGUCAUUAACGAUGAUGGCGAACAUGGCAAAAUUGUGGAAAGCCUCGGAGGACGAGUUGUUACGACAUUUAAAGACUGUUCUGUCUUGGUAACGGACCGUAUUCGCCGAACUCUGAAAUUUCUUUGUUGCGUCGGCCUGGGCACCCCGAUAGUCGGUGUGGAAUGGUUAACUAAAUGCCGUUCCAGCAGAAAGUUUGUAGAUCCAUGGUUGCAUUUGCUCUUAGACAAAGCGGGCGAGGAAAAGUUUAAUUUCAAACUUUCUGAAAGUCUCGAAGUUGCGAAAGAGACUCCGCUUUUGUCCGGGUGGAUUUUUCACGCAACGCCAUCCGUCGUACCGAAACCGGUUGAAAUGCAAGAAAUCGUUGAAUCGUGCGGCGGAAUUUACUUUGAAGAAAGCGAUAAUUCAGUGGACGACAAUAAGAUCGUCAUCAGCUGCGAAGCGGACAGGAAGACUUGGCCGUCAUGGAAGAAAAAAUGUGCCACGCUGGUCGACAAAGAGGCUAUCCUUAGCGGUGUCUUAAAGCAAGUGUUUGAGCCGGACAAAUUCAAAUUGGACGCAUAGGGUGGUCAAAUAUCAACAUUUUCUCAUGAAAUGGACACUUUCUCCUGCCUCAUCCUUUCCUAGAUUGCUUUUCUCUUCAGUUGAUAAUGAAAAAAGGCGAAAACACAAAGGGAGAGAGUGGGGCAGGGAAGAAGCCGACUGUUAGAAAAAGCUAAUCGCUUUCGGACUUGUUCACUGAGGUGACUGCGGACGAAUCUUAGCAUGCGUUCCCAACACAAACGUGUGCUAGUGAUACACCGAAAACAAGGCGAAACAUUUCUUGCGUCAAUCCUUUGUUAACAGGAUCGUAUUGGGUAGAGACAGGCGAAGAUUGCGAUCGUGACAUGAAGACCUACCGAGCGGCUUUACGUCAGAAAGCGGAAGGUGGGAGCGGGGGGGGGGGGAUCAGUUUGCUGUUGGGUAGGUGCUAUAUACCGGUACGGGUGUAGCCUACCAUAUACUCUAGUAUGCUGCCUCACAAGCUUACCGAAUGUUUUAUAACCAGUGACGUUGAUAGUGUCUACCCACCCACUGUCUUUCCUCUUCAUUGGGAUAGACAAAAGUAGCAUGGGGAGCCAGGACGGUCCUGUGUAGUGGAUCAUUUCCAAGUGUGGGUCGUCAAGUUGCCAUGGCAACCAUGAUCUCCCCUUCUUUUUCCUUUAUGCGUGUAUACCUAGUGUGGACAUGAAGGAGCACAGUCACUUUCGACCCGGAUGGCCGCAGCCCCAUCAGAGACCAAGGCGAGUUUUGGGGGGAUGUAUUUAUUAUUCCCGACACGCAACCUUCGGUCACUUCAUUGAACAUGCUCAAGUCGUUAUUGAUAUUUGUCGACGCUCUUAUUUCUUAUUUAAUACCGACGUUGUUUAUUAUUCUUUGCGUUUUUUUUUUUUUGCCGUUGUGGUCACUUUUUGUGCGAUCCGCUUUUGUCCGGAUCGAAGCCUUGGCAUUUCACACACGUCAUUUUA